RNAcentral lists this long non-coding RNA (397 nucleotides) under Linum usitatissimum (flax). Its description in RNAcentral is "long non-coding RNA (LUSI_LNC003325)". The record is from RNAcentral. Lineage: Eukaryota; Viridiplantae; Streptophyta; Magnoliopsida; Malpighiales; Linaceae.
GCCACUACCACGCAUUGGAUCUCCGUCAGCAAAAGUACGACGGCGAAUCACCCUACGCCGACGAUGUCCUCCCGACUUUCCACGGAUACGGCAAGUCGGGGAACGUCAGCGGACGUGUCACCUACGUCAACUACGGGCGUGUGGAGGACUACAAAAGGUUGAAGGAGAUGGGAGUCAACGUUUCCGGGACCAUCGUGUUGGCAAAGUAUGGACAGAUUUACAGAGGUGAUAUUGUGGACAAUGCUUACGUGGAGGGCGCUGUAGGGACGAUCAUAUACUCUGAUAGGAUAGACUUCGGUGGUGGCGGUGGUGGUGAUUGGUUCCCGGAUUCUAAGUGGCUGCCGCCGAGUGGGGUGCAGGUUGGUUCCGUGUAUAGUGAUGCUGGUGAUCCUACCAC